UUGCUUUGGCAGAUAUCUUAAAAUUGGCAUCUUCUGGAGAAGGUCAACAUGUCCUUUCACAAGAAUGACAUGGAAAAACAGGAAACAUUUCAUUUUUAA
RNAcentral lists this small nuclear RNA (99 nucleotides) under Capra hircus (goat). The record is from RNAcentral. Lineage: Eukaryota; Metazoa; Chordata; Mammalia; Artiodactyla; Bovidae.